GUACGAUUACGCGAUGCCUGAAUUUGCGUAACAGGCACGCGCUUCUUCUAUAAAGCACAAGGAACUCCUUGGCACAAACCCUAAACCCUCCUCUCUGCAUCGUCAACUGUUCUCCACUCGCAACCUCCGUCGCGUUAGCUCAUUAAGGUUUCACUAUGGGUAAGGAGAAGGUUCACGUCAACAUUGUGGUCAUUGGCCAUGUCGACUCUGGGAAGUCGACCACCACUGGACACUUGAUCUAUAAGCUUGGAGGAAUUGACAAGCGUGUUAUUGAGAGGUUCGAGAAGGAAGCUGCUGAGAUGAACAAGAGGUCUUUCAAGUAUGCUUGGGUGUUGGAUAAGCUUAAGGCAGAACGUGAACGUGGUAUUACCAUUGACAUUGCCUUGUGGAAGUUCGAAACCACCAAGUACUACUGUACUGUCAUUGAUGCUCCCGGUCACCGUGACUUCAUCAAGAAUAUGAUCACCGGUACCUCACAGGCCGACUGUGCUGUUCUGAUCAUUGACUCUACGACUGGUGGUUUUGAAGCUGGUAUUUCUAAGGAUGGGCAGACUAGGGAGCAUGCUUUGCUCGCUUUCACUCUUGGUGUCAAGCAGAUGAUUUGUUGCUGCAACAAGAUGGAUGCCACUACCCCUAAGUAUUCCAAGGCAAGGUACGAUGAAAUCGUUAAGGAAGUUUCUUCCUACCUUAAGAAGGUGGGUUAUAAUCCCGAGAAGAUUCCAUUUGUCCCCAUCUCAGGCUUUGAGGGUGACAACAUGAUUGAGAGGUCAACAAACCUUGACUGGUAUAAGGGCCCUACCCUCCUCGAGGCCCUUGACAUGAUCCAGGAGCCCAAGAGGCCCACAGACAAGCCACUCCGCCUUCCCUUACAAGAUGUAUACAAGAUUGGUGGUAUUGGAACUGUCCCAGUGGGACGUGUUGAGACUGGGAUCCUCAAGCCUGGUAUGGUUGUCACAUUCGGGCCCUCUGGAUUGACAACUGAAGUUAAGUCUGUGGAAAUGCACCAUGAAGCCCUCCAGGAGGCUCUGCCUGGUGACAACGUCGGUUUCAAUGUGAAGAAUGUCGCUGUAAAGGAUCUGAAGCGUGGAUUUGUUGCUUCUAACUCGAAGGAUGAUCCUGCCAAGGAGGCUGCUAAUUUCACCUCUCAGGUCAUCAUCAUGAAUCAUCCAGGUCAAAUUGGAAAUGGCUAUGCCCCUGUCCUCGACUGCCACACUUCUCACAUUGCGGUCAAAUUUGCCAAGAUCUUGACUAAGAUAGACAGGCGUUCUGGUAAGGAGCUUGAGAAGGAACCCAAGUUCUUGAAGAAUGGUGAUGCUGGUUUUGUGAAGAUGAUUCCCACCAAGCCCAUGGUUGUGGAGACAUUCUCUGAGUACCCUCCACUGGGUCGCUUUGCUGUUAGGGACAUGCGUCAGACCGUGGCUGUCGGAGUCAUUAAGAGUGUCGAGAAGAAGGACCCUAGUGGAGCCAAGGUGACCAAGUCUGCUGCCAAAAAGGGUGGAAAAUGAACUGUGUAGGCUCGUAUUGGUUCUAUAGCAGAUGGAACUUUCAUUACUAAUGGCGGUCUUUCUAAAAAAUUUGAGUUCUUGUUCGGUCAUUGUUUGCUUUAUCCUGUGUCUUAGAGCGUUCUCUCCGCACCUUCAAGCCACAGAAGCUCGCAGCACUGGAUGUUCGAUAGGCGGUGGUGGAGACUGUUGAUAAUCUGAGUCAUUGGAAUGUGAAUGGUCGAGGUGCUUUGGAUUUUCCAAGGCGGCUCAAAAGUUUUGAGCUGGGGCGUGCUGAGCCAAGCAAUUGAAAAGUGAAGGAGAAGCUGUAUUUCACCGAGAGAUGUUCUUUUCAGACGGUCUCUGGGCUUCUAGUUCUCUACACUUUCGGAGAGUUACAGCCGUGAGUUCAUUGGAGCAGGCGUGCCUAGAAAGUGGUCGAACGGGCAAGCUCCACCCACCGUCAGUCGCGUAGCGAUGCCUUCGCAGGUUGUUUGGUUUGGUCAGCGGAGGAUAACAGAAGGUGUCGUACAUUGAUCGUCCUCGUACCCA
Molecule: RNA transcript, 2033 nt
Organism: Rhodamnia argentea
Lineage: Eukaryota; Viridiplantae; Streptophyta; Magnoliopsida; Myrtales; Myrtaceae
Gene name: elongation factor 1-alpha
Exons: 4
Source: RefSeq, a predicted model, not a curated record